CUCCCCACAAAUGCUGGUUGUUGCAGACUAGAGGAGCGCAUGCGUGAGGCCCUCUCCCAGCGCUGCCAUUGAGGAGUAUUUACUCAGUGAGUGGAAGAGGUUUGUUUGAAACAGACCGCAAUGGAGAGACCAGCAGGUUCUUUCCAGCAACAUAUCGAGGAAAAUACUCGAAGGACCAAGAUGAUGUAAUAUUUUGUCGGUGCAAAGCCAAGUGUGAGCAGCUGCUUCUAACUAACAGCAGGCAAAUACUUGAAGGACUAAGAGAAAGUGAUAUUCCCUCAGUCCAAAGCCAAGUGUGACCAACAGAUUCUAACAAACAAGGUAUUUUACCGCUGUCAGAGCAGAGAACAUCCUUCCCACAGGUGCAGAGCAGAUUGAAUCAGACAUACAUUGAAGUCAAUUUCCAGCGAGAUAUGCUCAAACAACACAGAGGAAAUACAAGUUUUUUUUUUUUUUUUGUUUUUUCACCAUUCACAAUGCACACCUGCCCAGUUUGAACAAAUUUCCGCAUUUCAAGUUUGGCAAAGAUCUGCAGCUCGGGUAGUUGCUGGGAUAAUGUUGCUGACUUGCUCGCUGAGCUGGCUUGUUUUUGUUCAGAAGUUUUCAUCACCAUGCUCGGUGACAUCAUCAGUGGAGCCUCUGAUGAAGUGAUGUGUUCUGCUCCACGUGGAAUUUAUACUGUCUGGUCCGUUAUGAUCUCCUCGCGGGUUGCUGAAGCUUUUUGCUGUCGGGGAGAUACUUUGAAAAUGAGCCGAGAUAAAACCAGAACAGCUGCUGGACUGACAUAGUAAAUGUGGAGCUUUUGCUGAACUCUGAUCGAGUGCAAUAAGGGAGGGCCGCUUUUAAAUAUUCUCGAAAAACGGUGUCCGCAAUUAAGGCGCUCACCUGGAAGAACGUUAUCAAAUGUUUUAUCAACUUAUCGGGUGUUUUUGAAAUGCGAAAUAAAUUAGUUGCAGAGUGCA
Molecule: RNA transcript, 962 nt
Organism: Rhincodon typus (whale shark)
Lineage: Eukaryota; Metazoa; Chordata; Chondrichthyes; Orectolobiformes; Rhincodontidae
Gene name: late histone H2B.L4-like
Exons: 4
Source: RefSeq, a predicted model, not a curated record